UGGGUAACCUGCCUCAAAGAGGGGAAUAGCCUCCCGAAAGGGAGAUUAAUACCGCAUAAUAUGUUUAGGUCGCAUGACUUUAACAUCAAAGGAUUUUCUUUUAGAAAUUCCACUUUGAGAUGGACCCGCGGCGCAUUAGCUAGUUGGUGAGGUAACGGCUCACCAAGGCAACGAUGCGUAGCCGACCUGAGAGGUGAUCGGCCACAUUGGAACUGAGACACGGUCCAGACUCCGUAGGAGG
Molecule: ribosomal RNA, 241 nt
Filed under: uncultured bacterium
Lineage: Bacteria
Description: partial 16S ribosomal RNA
Rfam family: Bacterial small subunit ribosomal RNA
Source: RNAcentral